This is a long non-coding RNA of Capsella rubella, 150 nucleotides long. RefSeq lists it as uncharacterized. NCBI's taxonomy places the organism in Eukaryota, Viridiplantae, Streptophyta, Magnoliopsida, Brassicales, Brassicaceae. The transcript has 3 exons. The record is from RefSeq and is a predicted model, not a curated record.
AGGGGAAUUGAGUUUCUGCAGGAAAUCAGUUUACGGUUCAUAUUCUUUUCCGAUUUGAUCAGGUAAAGACUGAUAACUGUUUUGCAAUGAGUUAUUAGUUAGCUUGUCCUUUUAGAUUUGUGUCUCAGGAUAAGGUGAACAAGUUUGGUG